GGGAAUUAAGAGGUUGACUUUUUCACAAUAUUAGAGGAUCCCAAAGAAGAAAUGACUAGUGAACAUAUACGUACAUGCCUCAGCGUACUUUGUAAGCGGAUGACAUAGCCGAAAUCAAAGCUGUACAUUACCCAUGCAUGCGUGGUUGACACGAUAUUCUUCGACACUAUCCAUAUGCUACACACCUCAUUUCCAACUGAAGAUGCCCGAUCGACUAUGGUAAUUCCCGAUGAGUUAAAGGCAUAUGUGGAGGGUGAGAAGCUGACAUACGGGAAAAAAUGGGAAGAUGUCGAUUUCAUCCUUGCACCUUGCAAUGUUGGUGGGCAUUGGGUGGUAGCGAAGAUCGACUUGGUGAGGUGGACGAUCAAGGUGGUGGACUCCGCAAGAACUUUGGAUGCUAAGGAUAACGGAGUGCAAGCGGCUCAGAUGACACCCCUUAGGACAUUUAUGCCAAUCAUCUACCACCAAGCCAGUUAUUUCACAAAACACGCCUGAAGACAUGAGAUUUGACGCCGAUGCCAUUGGACAUUCAUUUGUCAAAAGCUAAAGUGCAUCGGCAGGGUAAUAGUGUCAGUUGCGGUAUGUUCAUGAUAAGCUACAUUAACGAUAUCUUGCAAUCAGAAUCGAUCAGAGUUAAGCAAAAUAUGAUUGCAAAUAUGCGUCGCCAAUACGCUUUAGAAAUUUUUUCCAACAGUUGUGAGAGCGAAGCUUGAACAUAUCGACCCUUGUCUAUACAUUUUUUGUAUAUACAAUUAAUUUUAUUAAUUUUGAUAUUCGUUCAUUUUAUA
Non-coding RNA from Theobroma cacao (cacao), 788 nucleotides. NCBI's taxonomy places the organism in Eukaryota, Viridiplantae, Streptophyta, Magnoliopsida, Malvales, Malvaceae. The record is from RefSeq and is a predicted model, not a curated record.